GUGCUUGCUUUGGCAGAACAAAUACUGAAAUUGGAAUUAUACAUAAAAGAGUAGCAUGACUCCUGCACAAGGAUGGCACAAAUUCGUGAAGUAUUCCAUAUUUUU
This is a small nuclear RNA of Bison bison bison, 105 nucleotides long. The record is from Ensembl. NCBI's taxonomy places the organism in Eukaryota, Metazoa, Chordata, Mammalia, Artiodactyla, Bovidae.